CAGCAAGGAACCGACUGGGUCUCAGCUUCCUUCCUGCCCUGCGCUUGGCUGAGGGACCCUGCGACCAGCUCAGGAGGUCAGAGGUGGCCAUGGGCCCAGCUUUGCCAGAUUUCCCUGCCAAAGGGGGCAGUUCAGGGAAAGACACAGCCUGGAUCACAUCCCAGGUGCUGUCUGUCUGUCUGUCUGUGGUGGGUUCCAGAGCAAGGAGGCCUCUCCGUGCCAUCGCUGCACGUUGAUUUCAGCCUGUGGCACCCACGUUGGGACACAUGGAUGCUCCAGGAAACAGCUGUGAACCCUGGGGCUGGAAUAAAGAUUCCAAAAACAAUGCAGAAAAGAAAAGCAGAGAAAUGACACGGUCCAGCUCAUUUUGGCCAUGGGACACAGCAGCUCUGACAGCAUCCCAGUGCUGCGGCAUCCCGCUGCUGCCUGUCUGUGGGGCCAGGGCUGAUCCAGAGCAAGGCAGCAGCUUGGUGCUGCAGUGGGAAGCGGAGGUGUGUGGAGUGCUGUAGGUGUGCUGGCUGUGCCGCGUCGCUGUGGGGUAGAGCUGGUGCUGCAGUGAACCCUUGUGGGAUGUUGGUGGUGCCUGGGGUUGGAGGGCUGUGCAAGCUGGCUAUCGCAGGGCUGGGGAAAGCAGGGAUGAUGAAGGGGAUAAUGGAGAGAGAUGGCUUUGGUGGGGUGCCUGAUUUUUUCGGUGCUCUGGAGGGUUGCUGAAGUUCCUCAGGAAGCGCAGCAUCUCUCCCUUGUAAACGUUUGGGGCUGAGGCAGUGGGGUGAGUG
Long non-coding RNA from Centrocercus urophasianus (Greater sage-grouse), 776 nucleotides. RefSeq lists it as uncharacterized. The record is from RefSeq and is a predicted model, not a curated record. The transcript is spliced from 3 exons. Lineage: Eukaryota; Metazoa; Chordata; Aves; Galliformes; Phasianidae.